GAUGAACGCUGGCGGCGUGCCUAAUACAUGCAAGUCGAGCGAACAGACGAGGAGCUUGCUCCUCUGACGUUAGCGGCGGACGGGUGAGUAACACGUGGAUAACCUACCUAUAAGACUGGGAUAACUUCGGGAAACCGGAGCUAAUACCGGAUAAUAUAUUGAACCGCAUGGUUCAAUAGUGAAAGACGGUUUUGCUGUCACUUAUAGAUGGAUCCGCGCCGCAUUAGCUAGUUGGUAAGGUAACGGCUUACCAAGGCAACGAUGCGUAGCCGACAUGAGAGGGUGAUCGGCCACACUGGAACUGAGACACGGUCCAGACUCCUACGGGAGGCAGCAGUAGGGAAUCUUCCGCAAUGGGCGAAAGCCUGACGGAGCAACGCCGCGUGAGUGAUGAAGGUCUUCGGAUCGUAAAACUCUGUUAUUAGGGAAGAACAAAUGUGUAAGUAACUAUGCACGUCUUGACGGUACCUAAUCAGAAAGCCACGGCUAACUACGUA
RNAcentral lists this ribosomal RNA (497 nucleotides) under uncultured bacterium. Its description in RNAcentral is "partial 16S ribosomal RNA". It matches the Rfam family "Bacterial small subunit ribosomal RNA", at positions 28 to 507 of the family's 1533-position model. The record is from RNAcentral.